Molecule: ribosomal RNA, 587 nt
Filed under: uncultured bacterium
Lineage: Bacteria
Description: bacterial SSU rRNA
Rfam family: Bacterial small subunit ribosomal RNA
Source: RNAcentral
CCUACGGGAGGCAGCAGUGGGGAAUUUUGGACAAUGGGGGCAACCCUGAUCCAGCCAUGCCGCGUGUGUGAAGAAGGCCUUCGGGUUGUAAAGCACUUUCGGACGGAACGAAAUCGCGCGGGUGAAUAAUCCGCGUGGAUGACAGUACCGUAGGAAGAAGCACCGGCUAACUACGUGCCAGCAGCCGCGGUAAUACGUAGGGUGCGAGCGUUAAUCGGAAUUACUGGGCGUAAAGCGUGCGCAGGCGGCGCCGCAAGUCAGGCGUGAAAUCCCCGAGCUUAACUUGGGAAUGGCGCUUGAAACUACGGUGCUGGAGUGUGGCAGAGGGAGGUGGAAUUCCACGUGUAGCGGUGAAAUGCGUAGAGAUGUGGAGGAACACCGAUGGCGAAGGCAGCCUUCUGGGCCAACACUGACGCUCAUGCACGGAAGCGUGGGGAGCAAACAGGAUUAGAUACCCUGGUAGUCCACGCCCUAAACGAUGAUGACUAGUUGUUGGGGGAGUUAAAUCCCUUAGUAACGCAGCUAACGCGUGAAGUCAUCCGCCUGGGGAGUACGGUCGCAAGAUUAAAACUCAAAGGAAUUGACGG